AUCCAGCUGACGAGUCCUAAGUAGGAUGAAACGAACGUCCUGGGU
Schistosoma rodhaini is the source of this 45-nucleotide non-coding RNA. The record is from Rfam. NCBI's taxonomy places the organism in Eukaryota, Metazoa, Platyhelminthes, Trematoda, Strigeidida, Schistosomatidae.